Sapajus apella (tufted capuchin) is the source of this 915-nucleotide RNA transcript. It is a transcript of the gene named NME/NM23 nucleoside diphosphate kinase 1, with no coding region annotated. Lineage: Eukaryota; Metazoa; Chordata; Mammalia; Primates; Cebidae. The transcript has 5 exons. The record is from RefSeq and is a predicted model, not a curated record.
CCCUAGAUUGACUGCCUACUCCCAAGAGGAAGCGUGGGCAGGCGGUGUUCGGCAAAAUGGGCUCUCCGGCAGCGGAUCUGUGCAGAACCGUUCCCUGCGUACAAGUGCUGCUAACCACGUGGGGCCCGGGCGCCUUUCGGGUGCUGGAGGCUGCAGCCAGAGUUCAAAGCCAAGCAGCUGGAGGGGACCAUGGCCAACUGUGAGCGUACCUUCAUUGCGAUCAAACCAGAUGGGGUCCAGCGGGGUCUUGUGGGAGAGAUUAUCAAGCGUUUUGAGCAGAAGGGAUUCCGCCUUGUUGGUCUGAAAUUCAUGCAAGCUUCUGAAGACCUUCUCAAGGAACACUACAUCGACCUGAAGGACCGUCCAUUCUUUGCUGGCCUGGUGAAAUACAUGCACUCAGGGCCGGUAGUUGCCAUGUUGCCAGAUUUUCUGCUGAGAUUGGUUUUCUUCCUUGACCAUAUCUUCUUCUGUCCUUGGAGGUCUGGGAGGGGCUGAACGUGGUGAAGACAGGCCGAGUCAUGCUCGGAGAGACCAAUCCUGCAGACUCCAAGCCUGGGACCAUCCGUGGAGACUUCUGCAUACAAGUCGGCAGGAACAUUAUACACGGCAGCGAUUCCGUGGAGAGUGCAGAGAAGGAGAUCGGCUUGUGGUUUCACCCUGAGGAACUGGUAGAUUACAAGAGCUGUGCUCAGAACUGGAUCUAUGAAUGACCAGACGGCAGACCACAAUGCUUUUCACAUUCAUUUCCCCUCCUUCCCACCGGCAGAGGACCAGGCUGUAGGAAAUCUAGUUAUUUACAGGAGCUUCUUCAUAAUUUGAAGGGAAACUCUUGGAGCUGUGAGUGCUCCCUGUACAGUGUUACCAUCCCCUACCUUGGAUUAAAAUGCGUCCUCCCAACAGAGGAUUCAUGGAGUU